This 254-nucleotide ribosomal RNA is filed under the name uncultured bacterium. RNAcentral's name for it is "partial 16S ribosomal RNA". It matches the Rfam family "Bacterial small subunit ribosomal RNA", at positions 524 to 776 of the family's 1533-position model. The record is from RNAcentral.
UACGGGGGGAGCAAGCGUUGUUCGGAUUUACUGGGCGUAAAGGGCGCGUAGGCGGUCGUGACAAGUCACUUGUGAAAUCUCCGGGCUUAACUCGGAACGGUCAAGUGAUACUGUCGGACUAGAGUACAGAAGGGGCAACUGGAAUUCCUGGUGUAGCGGUGAAAUGCGCAGAUAUCAGGAGGAACACCGAUGGCGAAGGCAGGUCUCUGGGCAUUAACUGACGCUGAGGAGCGAAAGCAUGGGGAGCGAACAGG